This 920-nucleotide ribosomal RNA is filed under the name uncultured Bacillota bacterium. RNAcentral describes it as "bacterial SSU rRNA". It matches the Rfam family "Bacterial small subunit ribosomal RNA", at positions 1 to 917 of the family's 1533-position model. Lineage: Bacteria; Bacillati; Bacillota. The record is from RNAcentral.
UGGAUCCAGACUUUGAUCCUGGCUCAGGACGAACGCUGGCGGCGUGCCUAACACAUGCAAGUCGAACGAAGCUUGACGGUAGAUUUCUUCGGAAUGAAGCCUGAUAUGACUUAGUGGCGGACGGGUGAGUAACACGUGAGCAACCUGCCUUUCAGAGAGGAAUAACGGCUGGAAACGGUCGCUAAUACCUCAUAAUGUAUAUUUAAGGCAUCUUAGAUAUACCAAAGAUUUAUCGCUGAAAGAUGGGCUCGCGUCUGAUUAGAUAGUUGGUGAGGUAAUGGCUCACCAAGUCGACGAUCAGUAGCCGGACUGAGAGGUUGAACGGCCACAUUGGGACUGAGACACGGCCCAGACUCCUACGGGAGGCAGCAGUGGGGAAUAUUGCACAAUGGGCGCAAGCCUGAUGCAGCAACGCCGCGUGAGGGAAGACGGUUUUCGGAUUGUAAACCUUUGUCUUUGGUGAAGAAGAAAGUGACGGUAACCAAGGAGGAAGCCACGGCUAACUACGUGCCAGCAGCCGCGGUAAUACGUAGGUGGCAAGCGUUGUCCGGAAUUACUGGGUGUAAAGGGAGCGCAGGCGGGACUGCAAGUUGGAUGUGAAAUACCGAGGCUCAACCUCGGGGCUGCAUCCAAAACUGUAGUUCUUGAGUGAAGUAGAGGUAGGCGGAAUUCCGAGUGUAGCGGUGAAAUGCGUAGAUAUUCGGAGGAACACCAGUGGCGAAGGCGGCCUACUGGGCUUUAACUGACGCUGAGGCUCGAAAGUGUGGGGAGCAAACAGGAUUAGAUACCCUGGUAGUCCACACUGUAAACGAUGAUAGCUAGGUGUGGGGGGUCUGACCCCUUCCGUGCCGGAGUUAACGCAAUAAGCUAUCCACCUGGGGAGUACGGCCGCAAGGUUGCAACUCAAAUGAAUUGACGGA